UCCUACGGGAGGCAGCAGUGGGGGAUAUUGCACAAUGGGGGAAACCCUGAUGCAGCAACGCCGCGUGAGGGAAGAAGGUUUUCGGAUUGUAAACCUCUGUUCUUAGUGACGAUAAUGACGGUAGCUAAGGAGAAAGCUCCGGCUAACUACGUGCCAGCAGCCGCGGUAAUACGUAGGGAGCGAGCGUUGUCCGGAUUUACUGGGUGUAAAGGGUGCGUAGGCGGCGAGGCAAGUCAGGCGUGAAAUCUAUGGGCUUAACCCAUAAACUGCGCUUGAAACUGUCUUGCUUGAGUGAAGUAGAGGUAGGCGGAAUUCCCGGUGUAGCGGUGAAAUGCGUAGAGAUCGGGAGGAACACCAGUGGCGAAGGCGGCCUACUGGGCUUUAACUGACGCUGAAGCACGAAAGCAUGGGUAGCAAACAGGAUUAGAUACCCUGGUAGUCC
Molecule: ribosomal RNA, 442 nt
Filed under: [Clostridium] leptum
Lineage: Bacteria; Bacillati; Bacillota; Clostridia; Eubacteriales; Oscillospiraceae
Description: bacterial SSU rRNA
Rfam family: Bacterial small subunit ribosomal RNA
Source: RNAcentral